This is a long non-coding RNA of Brassica rapa (field mustard), 2384 nucleotides long. RefSeq lists it as uncharacterized. The record is from RefSeq and is a predicted model, not a curated record. Lineage: Eukaryota; Viridiplantae; Streptophyta; Magnoliopsida; Brassicales; Brassicaceae.
AAUCAACAUAUAUUUAUUACAAUAUUCAAUUUUCUGAAUAUUCAUUUCAAUAAAUAAAGCAGGUAGAUAAAUAUAGAAAAUAACAAUUACCAACAUAUAAAUUAUAAUUGUUUAAAAUUAUAAACUAAUAAUUUUAAUAUUAUGUAUUAAAUAGGAAAAAAAAUUAUAUAUCAUGCAAAAAAAAAUUGCAUUUUGUUCAAAAAAUGGUUGAGGAUAACUAUCAUGUGAAAAAUGUAUGAAAAAACUUAAAAAGGAUGAAGACACAAUUGUAUGCAAUAUGUGUUUUGAUAAAAAAUUAAAGGAAACAUUAAGGUUUAUAAAAUAUAUAUAUAUAUAUAUAUAUAUAUAUAUAUAUAUUUGAAUACUUUGUAAAUCAUAUUUUAAUCAUCAAAAUUAAAUUUAAUUAUUUAUAUGAUUUAAUUUUUUUAUCAGGCAUAUAAAAUUAUAAAUUAUAGAUUAUAAUAUAUUCUUUAUAAAAUGAGUUUCCGUGCGAUAUCGCACGGGCUCUUUUCCUAGUGGAAUUAAGAGAAGAAAUAAAUUAUAAACCAAUGCUUUUACAAUGUGACAGUUGGAACAAUAAUUGGGGGUGAAUAUUUCAAAUUGAAGAGUCAGGCAUCUUCUCCAACUUCAUGUAGCACUGGGAUAAUUUGCAUAAUUAUGUUACACAAUUAGAAAAUGAUGCAGAGAAUAUUUGAAUAUAGGAAAAACCAUUUAAAUCUUAAAACAAUAGAAGUAAUUAUCCUAUUAAUAAAUAAUAAUAAAAUUUGAAAUAUAUCCAAAUAUUCUCUGCAUUAUCAGAAAACAUGAAUGAAACAAAUGGAAAACCAAUGGUAACACUAUACAGAACAUCUGUAUCUAAAAUCUAGUUCGGUCACGCUAAACUGGAAUGUAACUAACGUGCUGUCAAGGCUGAAUUAGAAGAAACAAAUCCAGACCUUCAUAAAAGAAAAAGGUCCAAACUAAUAAUGUCUGAAUAUAUUUCCUCAGCACCCACGGCAUCUCGUUAUCGGCUCAUGCCAGAUGGCCAUACUACGACCACUAAUUUGUUCAUCAUCACCCUCUUUUUUUUUGAAUCAACUAAAAAAUUUGGACCAUUUCUUGAUUUGUGCAUGUCAUCCUUCGGCAGGGGCCAUGCUAACCUUCUCUAUAUAGUUUCAAUUUUAUCGGAUGUCCUCGAAGGAACACCCUCCUUAUUCUCUCAUUUCCUCUUCUUCUCCUCCUCCUCUGAUCAGCAUCAGCAUCAGCUCAUGAGAUUUACUUGGAAGCAAAACCUAAGAUAUUACAUAGGGUUUCUAGAAACCUUAGCUUCCGGCGCAAGAAAGGAAGCUGCAAAAGCUAGGACCAACCCGGGUCUUGUAGUCAUCUCACGUUUCGGUGUUGCUGGAUUUGUUAACAGUAACGUCGCUAUUGAGUAGUUCGUGUGUUUCGGUGUCGGAGAGAAACAACGAUCAGAAGCUUUGAGAGAGAUACAGAAACAGAGACAAGGAAAUUAAUAAUUAGGGUUUUUUUAUUUAGGUUUAAUACAUUUGAAUGGGGAACACAUGCGUGGGUCCGAAGCUAAACGCUAAUAGAUUUAAUUAACAGGCAACAGGGAUGAGAACAUCACGAAGAAGAGCGUUAACGGCCGCAAUGAAGACGCUUCCUCCGCCUUGGAUCCAGCUCCACCAGCAGUACCAACACCUAGCGCACCACCUCCUCCGGUGAAAAUGGAUGAGGAAGAAGCACCUAAAAGUAUCCUAGAGAGAAAUAACAACGACGUGAGUCCCAAGCCGAAGAAAAAGGCGCACAUGAAACGGAUGGGGGAGGAAGUUAGGUCAAGGACGAUUCGGGACAAGAUUUCUUUGCGUGGAGAAGAAGUCAGGUCAAGAGGUCGCUUGCAAAACGAUCGCUAAGAGGAAACUGACGACCCCUGUUGACGUUGAAGAUGUAAGAAGAGAGAUUCAGAUAGUGCAUCACUUGUCUGAGCACCCUAACGUGAUUCAGAUCGUUGGUGCGUAUGAAGACGCAGUAGCUAUUCAUGUCGUGAUGGAGAUUUGUGCAGGGGUUUUGAAGAAGCAACACUCAAGACUAUUGACUUUGGUCUCUCUGUCUUCUUUAAACCAGGAGAAACAUUCACUCAUGUUGUUGGGGGAGACCUUACUAAGUGGCGUCCCUACGUUGUGGGAUGGUAAGAGAGAAACAGUUUGUGUCAUGUUUUCAAAUGGUUAAGAGACUGAUUGAAUUGUUAUGAUAAUGUCAGAAACGGAACAAGGCAUCUCUGAGCAAGUUUUAAAAGGUGACAUUUGACUUUUGUAUCAGAACCAUGGCCUAGUGUAUCAAAAAGCGCUCAUAAGAUUUGGUUCCUCAGAUGCUGAUCAGUGACCCUAAAGAAGCGAAUCGCAGUU